This 464-nucleotide ribosomal RNA is filed under the name Vreelandella stevensii. Its description in RNAcentral is "partial 16S ribosomal RNA". It matches the Rfam family "Bacterial small subunit ribosomal RNA", at positions 339 to 795 of the family's 1533-position model. Lineage: Bacteria; Pseudomonadati; Pseudomonadota; Gammaproteobacteria; Oceanospirillales; Halomonadaceae. The record is from RNAcentral.
CUACGGGGGGCAGCAGUGGGGAAUAUUGGACAAUGGGCGAAAGCCUGAUCCAGCCAUGCCGCGUGUGUGAAGAAGGCCUUCGGGUUGUAAAGCACUUUCAGUGGGGAAGAAAGCCUUGGGGCUAAUACCCUCGAGGAAGGACAUCACCCACAGAAGAAGCACCGGCUAACUCCGUGCCAGCAGCCGCGGUAAUACGGAGGGUGUGAGCGUUAAUCGGAAUUACUGGGCGUAAAGCGCGCGUAGGCGGUCUGAUAAGCCGGUUGUGAAAGCCCCGGGCUCAACCUGGGAACGGCAUCCGGAACUGUCAGGCUAGAGUGCAGGAGAGGAAGGUAGAAUUCCCGGUGUAGCGGUGAAAUGCGUAGAGAUCGGGAGGAAUACCAGUGGCGAAGGCGGCCUUCUGGACUGACACUGACGCUGAGGUGCGAAAGCGUGGGUAGCAAACAGGAUUAGAUACCCGAGUAGUC